UACCUUUUUCUAUUUGUUGCAGGUUAAUUGUUUCUUGCCUCAGAUUUAUGGUCUUUGCUGCACAUGGAAUGUUUCAACUUAAUUUUGCCAGUAGCUGUAUUAAGUUUCGUCCUUCUUAUCAAGUUAAAAUGAUGCACAUACUAUGAUAGUUUGAAAAUUGUUUGUCGGUGUAGAGAGUUGGAAUUCAGUUCACACAUUAUAGACGAAAUCUAUAGCUGAGAUUUUUUUACGUUUGUUAUUCUGAUGAAUGAUCCUUGCAUGUCAUUAUUCUCCAAAGGUUUUGUCUAUGAGGUCACAUAAGUGAGUUUUGGGAGCUCAUUGGGGUUGGUUGGGUUAUCUUAGUUCUGAACGUGAUGGAAUGAUUCUGAGGAGAAUUUCUUGAAGCUGCAUAUGCUAAUGGUGCUACUAGUUAGUAUUUUAGUUUUGAAGAUCUUAGUAUGGUUUAAGGUACAACUGUAGAGAAGAAUUUCUUUUUGACAAGGAAGGAGAGGUUUCUUAAUGAUUAUUGACCACUUUGGCUUCGGGGAGUAAUUUUUAUUUUGCUAGUGAAAGCCAUUUCGGAGGUUUAGUACCAUCCAUUUGAGCGUUUUUGGUUGUUGUAUGAUAGGGACCAAACUUCAAAACUUUUCUAUCCGACCUUGGAGUUUAUUGGUUAUUUUCUUUUUGUUGUUUUGUUAGUAAAAGAAGUUUCUAA
Long non-coding RNA from Rhodamnia argentea, 694 nucleotides. RefSeq lists it as uncharacterized. The record is from RefSeq and is a predicted model, not a curated record. The transcript has 2 exons. NCBI's taxonomy places the organism in Eukaryota, Viridiplantae, Streptophyta, Magnoliopsida, Myrtales, Myrtaceae.